This 1074-nucleotide ribosomal RNA is filed under the name Cimex sp. RNAcentral describes it as "SSU rRNA". It matches the Rfam family "Eukaryotic small subunit ribosomal RNA", at positions 21 to 1012 of the family's 1831-position model. Lineage: Eukaryota; Metazoa; Arthropoda; Insecta; Hemiptera; Cimicidae. The record is from RNAcentral.
AGUCAUAUGCUUGUCUCAAAGCUUAAGCCAUGCAAGUCUCAGUACAGACUAUAUUAAAGUGAAACCGCAAAAGGCUCAGUAAACCAGUUUUAAUUUACUAGAGUUAACUUGACUGUGCUUGGAUAACUGUGGUAAUUCUAGAGCUAAUACAUGCAACAAAGCCGUGACCAUUCGUGGUCAGGGCGCUUUUAUUAGACCAAGACCAAUCGCCCGGCCAGUCCGGGCGUUAAGUUGAGGAACCUAGAUAACACAGCAGAUCGCAUGGUCUUUGUACCGGCGACCUAUCUUUCAAAUGCCUGACUUAUCAACUGACGAUGGUAGACUCUGUGUCUACCAUGGCUGUUACGGGUAACGGGGAAUCAGGGUUCGAUUCCGGAGAGGGAGCCUGAGAAACGGCUACCACAUCCAAGGAAGGCAGCAGGCACGCAAAUUACCCACUCCCGGAACGGGGAGGUAGUGACAAAAAAUAACGAUACGGGACUCGAUAUGAGGCCUCGUAAUCGGAAUGAGUACACUCUAAAUCCUUUAACAAAAAUCUAUUGGAGGGCAAGUCUGGUGCCAGCAGCCGCGGUAAUUCCAGCUCCAAUAGCGUAUAUUAAAGUUGUUGCGGUUAAAAAGCUCGUAGUUGGUUCUGCGUCCCGCGCUGUCGGUACACCGUUUGUCGGUGACACUGGCAUGACGCGGGAUGUCCUGUCGGUGGCGGCGGAGACCAUAUCGCCGUCGGCUAACACCGCGGCGUGUUGGCCUUCUGUCGCCGGCUUUAUCCUACCGCGGUGCUCUUCACUGAGUGUCGAGGUAGGCCGACACGUUUACUUUGAACAAAUUAGAGUGCUUAAAGCAGGCAAAAAUCUCUGCCAGAAUAGUGGUGCAUGGAAUAAUGGAACAGGACCUUGGUUCUAUUCUGUUGGUCUCCGGAACACAAGGUAAUGAUCAAUGUGGACAGGCGGGGGCAUUCGUAUUGCGGCGUUAGAGGUGAAAUUCUUGGAUCGUCGCAAGACGCACUAGAGCGAAAGCAAUUGCCAAGUAUGUCUUAAUUGAUCAAGAACGAAAGUUAGAGGUUCGAAGGCGAUCAGA